This 715-nucleotide ribosomal RNA is filed under the name Lichenothelia arida. Its description in RNAcentral is "SSU rRNA". It matches the Rfam family "Eukaryotic small subunit ribosomal RNA", at positions 115 to 850 of the family's 1831-position model. The record is from RNAcentral. Lineage: Eukaryota; Fungi; Ascomycota; Dothideomycetes; Lichenotheliales; Lichenotheliaceae.
GUUUAUUUGAUAGUACCUUACUACUUGGAUAACCGUGGUAAUUCUAGAGCUAAUACAUGCUAAAAACCCCGACUUCGGAAGGGGUGUAUUUAUUAGAUAAAAAACCAAUGCCCYUCGGGGCUCCUUGGUGAUUCAUGAUAACUUAACGAAUCGCAUGGCCUUGCGCCGGCGAUGGUUCAUUCAAAUUUCUGCCCUAUCAACUUUCGAUGGUAGGAUAGUGGCCUACCAUGGUAUCAACGGGUAACGGGGAAUUAGGGUUCUAUUCCGGAGAGGGAGCCUGAGAAACGGCUACCACAUCCAAGGAAGGCAGCAGGCGCGCAAAUUACCCAAUCCCGACGCGGGGGAGGUAGUGACAAUAAAUACUGAUACAGGGCUCUUUUGGGUCUUGUAAUUGGAAUGAGUACAAUUUAAAUCCCUUAACGAGGAACAAUUGGAGGGCAAGUCUGGUGCCAGCAGCCGCGGUAAUUCCAGCUCCAAUAGCGUAUAUUAAAGUUGUUGCAGUUAAAAAGCUCGUAGUUGAACCUUGGGCCUGGCUGGCCGGUCCGCCUCACCGCGUGCACUGGUCCGGCCGGGCCUUUCCUUCUGGGGAGCCGCAUGCCCUUCACUGGGCGUGUCGGGGAACCAGGACUUUUACUUUGAAAAAAUUAGAGUGUUCAAAGCAGGCCUUUGCUCGAAUACAUUAGCAUGAAAUAAUAGAAUAGGACGUGUGGUUCUA